RNAcentral lists this unclassified non-coding RNA (4167 nucleotides) under Hevea brasiliensis (rubber tree). The record is from RNAcentral. Lineage: Eukaryota; Viridiplantae; Streptophyta; Magnoliopsida; Malpighiales; Euphorbiaceae.
GGCACAACAAAGUAACUGCUUCUCCCCUACAGUGCGCACGCACGCACGCACAGACGCAUGCUAGUUCUUGCCUCUCUUCCUCUCAAAUUUCAUUCAUGGUUUUGGCCUUAGGGUUUAGAUUCAUCUCUGUAUGUUCUUCUUCUUCGAUUCUCUCUACUCUUUAGAAUUCAGUUUCCUCCAUUGCAGCUGUUUAUCCAAUCAAAGCCGGUCUCUGCCUCAACUUCUCAUUCAUUUUUUUUGGUCUUUGUAAGGUCGUCAAAUUCUUUCUUCAUUCAACAUUCAAAGGACGAUCGGAAAGCAGAGAAGCUUCUCUCUUUUCCCUUCGAUCAAUGGUGUUUAGCUCAGCCUCCGAAACCCACCAAACUUCUCCUCAUAGAGACGCUACCAAAUACGCAGACAUGGCUUCUUCAACUCUUAAAUCUCAUCAGCCUCUCCAUAACUUUCCAUUACAGGAUCUCAAAUGGUCCAUGAACCACACCAAUAACCACCGCUUUCGCAAGUUUGCUGCUGAUUCCUCUCACAAAUCCCCCCAACGCGACACCGCCGAGUCUGACGGCGUGAAAACUGGGAACUACGUCGCGUCUCCUGAUCGGGUGACCGAGAAAUCUGAGAAGAAAUUGGGGGUUUCGGAUACUGCGGUUGACAAUUCCGACAAGAUAUCCAAGAUCUUUAUUCGCAUCAGGACUAAUAGUAGCAAGUGCGCUGACGAUUCUGUGGAUGCAGGGGAUCAGACCUCAGUUGUGGACGAUGCGGAGGAAACGAUAACGAAGACAUGGAAUCUGAGGCCGAGACGAGCCGUGAUUAAGGCUUCCGAUGGGAAUGGAGGUGUACCGAAGAUUGGUGGAGCUGUCGAGCCGGAAACCAAAGCUCAGGAACCGAGUCGCCCUGAAUUGACUCGGUCACGGAAUACUAACGAUGCUAAGGUGGCUGAGAAGAAAGAGAAAGAGAAGGAGAAGAAGCUAAAGCUCUCGAUCCCGCUUACCAAAGAGGAAAUCGAAGAGGAUGUCUAUGCGUUGACUGGGUCAAAGCCUGCGAGGAGGCCCAAGAAGAGACCGAAGCAUGUGCAGAAACAACUUGAUUGCUUGUUUCCUGGAUUGUGGCUGUCUUCGAUCACGCCUGAUGUAUACAAAGUUUCUGAUGCUCCUCCAAAGGUCCAAUAUUGAUGUUUCUGAACUGUCAACUUUUUCUUUCUUGUGUUCCCUACUUUUUUUGGUUCGGUACCUGAGUAAGCCAUUGAAAGGCGAAGAAAAUUGGGUAAAUGUUGUUUUUAUUGAAAAAAUGUUGAGAAACUUAAUCUCUAUGAAGCUCUCUUGUUAGCAAAGGAAAGGACAAAGAAGACAAACAACAUCAAAGAAGAGAAGGUGGCUUACUUGAUUGGAUGGAUUUUUAAGCAAUAACAAGCAUGUGAUCAUGGAAUUCUCAUUUGCACUAUCUUUUCAUCACAAGUUAAUUCUUUUAUGCUUUUUGUGGAGUUGAUGUUUGAAUUUUGCUGUUCAUACAGGGAUAGAUGAUCCAUUUUUAUAAACUGGGAACUUGAAGGUGAAUGACUGCCCAACUUGUUGACACCAGCGUAAAGUGUAAAACACUAUGAGCCUGUAAAGAUGAAAGGGUAACGAAUGUAUCUUGUUUUUGUGCCUUUUCUCUAUACAGCAAGGAGCUCACUGCAAGUUUGAAGGGUUAAUGUUAUGGUCCGUGUUUUAAGUAGCUGCCUUUGUACAUAAGAACUAUCAAUCUAAUGGGUAGAGAUUUUAAUAUCAGCAUUUGUUUUUUGCAGUUAAUGUGAAAUCAAAUGCUUUUCUAGACCAUUUAUUUUGCAUGAUAGUUCACAAGAUAUUUUUUCCUUGUUAGCUGACACAUUGAAAUAUCUCUGUAUCCCAAAUAGUUGGCGUGUGGUGUUCUGAUUGACUUCCAUAUUUCAUAUCUGCAUUAUUUUUCUUUCCAAAUGUGCAUCUAGUAGAGCAAAAAAGAGAAAAAGGAAAAGAUUAGAUUACCAGUUCUUAAUCAAUUCAAGGAAAGUAUGAUCCUUUGAUAAUUAAUUGCAUUAUUGCCAUUGUUGGUCGACUUCAAGAGCCAUGCACGAUAUUGUUGUUAUUUGAGGUAUGUGCUAUCUUGUGUAAUAUUGCUAUUAAUAGCCGGGCGUUUGCUUUUUGAAAUUUGAGUUUUUUAUUUGUUAGAAUUGUAAGCGCACUAGUUUUUUGCACAGCAAUCUAAGGCAUUGUAUGUAGUUGUACUAUAAUUUUUAUCUCCUAUGGAAUUACAACUAUUAAGAUUUUCAUGAUAAUAAGAAUUUUCAGAAUUUGCAAAUUGAUGCACGCACAGAAUUCAUUGUGAACUGUGUUGGACUUUGUUUAGUUCUGGACAUGGCUAUCUUAUGUACUUAUUAUUUCUGUUGUUUUCUUCUUGAAAAAUGCAAAGUCACUGUCCUUUUAUCUUUCCUUAUUUGAAAGAUGUGCGAGUUAUAUGUGCAGUAUGGUUAUUGGUGAGAUGUGUACAAUCGAGUGAUGCAACUGGAUAAAUCAAGUACUAAAAAAGAAAUUUUAUUGCAGAUAUUAGAGUACUGCAAUUGCAAUCUAGAUCACAGGGUAGUACGAAAGUCUUAUGAGAACAGCAAUUGAUCAUAGAAUUGGUCCUGAAUCUGAGCAACAGUCAUUUAAAUAGUCUACUUGAUAAGUGCAGAUUAUUGUUAAAUUUUAAGAAUUAGCCUUGAACUAGAUAAUUUAAUGAUGAGAAAAAUGAGCCGAUGGAAGUAAGCAUUGGAGGCGAGGACUUGUUUUUGCAUACUCCUUACCAAUUUGGAGCAUGCAAAAACUUUUUUAUGUGAAUUUUUCUGACAUAGUUUUAUUCUUCUACAUAUUUUCUCAACUUCUCUGCUUGCUUUGUAAGAUAGAACAUUCUGUAUUAGAUAUGGUGAUCAAAUCUUAUGUUUCUAGAUCAAUCCUGGAGGUCACUCAUGAAGGUCUCAUGAUCUCUAAUCUUGGGACAUAUUAGAUAGGUGAUAAAAGGGGUGGGGUUAUUGUGAAAAUCUUUGUAAAUGUUUUGGUCUGGUUUUUCUUUAUUACAAUGUCAACUUAUUGAUCUGCUUUAAAACAAAAAAAUUUUAUAUCAUCUGUGUUGGGAACUGGGUUGAACAAGUACUUUUGAUGUUCACUACUCAUUUGUUUCGCAUAACUUGCAUGGUAUUGGGAGUUCUGAUCCAUCAUAGUUUGUGGAGAAGCUUUUUGUCUGUGUAUAAGCUCCCCAUUCAUUUGCAAAACUGAAGAACAAUGAAUUUGCAUCUUAGGGCCUUAAGUCUUAACAGCCAUGGGGUUAAAUGUAUGGUUUUCAGGCAUGCAGUUUUUUUGCAUGAAAAAUUAUUCAUUUUUUCCAUGGAUCCUGUUAUUUUUGCAGACAGAGAAGGGUUUGAACUUGAUUAUUAUUAUUAUGUUAAUUACAGAAAUAAAGCAUCUGUGUGAUGGUUGAAGGUUGGAGCUAUUCAGCUCAGGAGUGGAACAUAACGUUGAAUGCAUAUGCUUUUAUUUGCCAAGUAGUUCACCUUUUCUAUUCGAAAAUUUGCUGAUAUAUUUUUAAGGGAUGUAAUCUAGAUGCAAAUUAAGAAUAAACUCUACUUGAGUUGCUUUGACAAGCUGUGGAGGGGAAUUGAGGUGCUAAAGCUUUCUUUAUAUGUUGGUUAUCGUCAUCUUCACAUGUGAGUUUAUUAUUAUUAUUAUUACUGUUAUUAUUAUUAGUUUGGCAUUGCACUUAAUAGCAUAUUGCUUUGCCAUUUUUCAGUGGCUGGGAGCUUCACAAAGUCACAUGUAGACGUCUGAAGCACAGGAUGCAUGCGGUAUUUGGGAAUCUACUGUUGUUUACAAAAAGGGUGAACUAAAAAUGAUGCUGUCAAGCUUUCUUUGGAACAAUGAAAGACUCUGCUUGCAUCUGUUUGAAAUUUUAUUUUACUGUUCUAUUCGGAAAUUUCCCUUCACAUUCUUCACAAAAAAACUUAGGUGGAAGUUCCUUUCAAAAAGUAUCUCGGUAACAUUUUUAAUCCUUCCCCCACUGCCACCUUUUUUCUUCUCGUUCUCAACUUAAAUGUUAAACAUUUAUAACCAUAAAAAAAUAAUCAUCCGUAAUGAUAUUUGUAUAAAUGUAUUGAAAAAAUUGUGAUGAAAUGAAAGUGAUUUAUUAUCU